UGCAUCGGCCGGGAAUCGAACCCCGCGUGGUAGGCGAGCAUUCUACCACUGAACCACCGAUGA
Molecule: transfer RNA, 63 nt
Filed under: Cordylochernes scorpioides
Lineage: Eukaryota; Metazoa; Arthropoda; Arachnida; Pseudoscorpiones; Chernetidae
Description: tRNA-Gly
Source: RNAcentral